AUUGGACGCUGGCGGCAUGCCUUACACAUGCAAGUCGAACGGCAGCACGGGAGUAAUCCUGGUGGCGAGUGGCGAACGGGUGAGUAAUAUAUCGGAACGUGCCCAGUCGUGGGGGAUAACGCAGCGAAAGCUGUGCUAAUACCGCAUACGAUCUACGGAUGAAAGCGGGGGAUCGCAAGACCUCGCGCGAUUGGAGCGGCCGAUAUCAGAUUAGCUAGUUGGUGGGGUAAAGGCCCACCAAGGCGACGAUCUGUAGCUGGUCUGAGAGGACGACCAGCCACACUGGAACUGAGACACGGUCCAGACUCCUACGGGAGGCAGCAGUGGGGAAUUUUGGACAAUGGGCGCAAGCCUGAUCCAGCAAUGCCGCGUGCAGGAUGAAGGCCUUCGGGUUGUAAACUGCUUUUGUACGGAACGAAACGGCCCUUUCUAAUACAGGGGGCUAAUGACGGUACCGUAAGAAUAAGCACCGGCUAACUACGUGCCAGCCGCCGCAGUAA
This 500-nucleotide ribosomal RNA is filed under the name uncultured bacterium. Its description in RNAcentral is "partial 16S ribosomal RNA". It matches the Rfam family "Bacterial small subunit ribosomal RNA", at positions 30 to 523 of the family's 1533-position model. The record is from RNAcentral.